UACGGAGGGUGCAAGCAUUGAUCGGAAUUACUGGGCGUAAAGGGCGCGUAGGCGGCCAGAAAAGUCAGAUGUGAAAUUCCGGGGCUCAGCCCCGGAGCUGCAUUUGAAACUUUUUGGCUAGAGUACAGUUAGGGUAAACGGAAUUCCACGUGUGGCGGUGAAAUGCGUAGAUAUGUGGAAGAACACCGGUGGUGAAGACGGUUUACUGGGCUGAGACUGACGCUGAGGCGCGAAAGCAUGGGGAGCAAACAGG
This 253-nucleotide ribosomal RNA is filed under the name uncultured bacterium. Its description in RNAcentral is "partial 16S ribosomal RNA". It matches the Rfam family "Bacterial small subunit ribosomal RNA", at positions 524 to 776 of the family's 1533-position model. The record is from RNAcentral.